AACGAACGCUGGCGGCGCGCCUAAUACAUGCAAGUCGAGCGAGAAGGUGUAGCAAUACACUUGUAAAGCGGCGAACGGGUGAGGAAUACAUGGGUGACCUACCAUUGAGUGGGGAAUAACCAGCCGAAAGGCUGGCUAAUACCGCGUACGCUUCCGGAUUUUCGAGUUCGGAAGGAAAGCGAUACCGUGGGUAUCGCGCUCUUUGAUGGGCUCAUGUCCUAUCAGCUUGNGGUAGGGUAACGGCCUACCAAGGCUUUGACGGGUAGCUGGUCUGAGAGGACGAUCAGCCACACUGGCACUGCGACACGGGCCAGACUCCUACGGGAGGCAGCAGUAAGGAAUAUUGCGCAAUGGGCGAAAGCCUGACGCAGCGACGCCGCGUGGGGGAUGAAGGUCUUCGGAUUGUAAACCCCUUUCGGGAGGGAAGA
RNAcentral lists this ribosomal RNA (428 nucleotides) under uncultured bacterium. RNAcentral describes it as "bacterial SSU rRNA". It matches the Rfam family "Bacterial small subunit ribosomal RNA", at positions 29 to 448 of the family's 1533-position model. The record is from RNAcentral.